GAUGAACGCUAGCGACAGGCCUAACACAUGCAAGUCGAGGGGUAUUGGGUUUUCGGACCCGAGAGACCGGCGCACGGGUGCGUAACGCGUAUGUAACCUGCCUUACACCGGGGGAUAGCCUUCCGAAAGGGAGAUUAAUACCGCAUAAUAUUAUAUAGCCUCCUGGCAUUAUAAUUAAAACUUCGGUGGUGUAAGAUGGACAUGCGUAUGAUUAGCUAGUUGGCGGGGUAACGGCCCACCAAGGCGACGAUCAUUAGGGGUUCUGAGAGGAAGGUCCCCCACACUGGUACUGAGACACGGACCAGACUCCUACGGGAGGCAGCAGUGAGGAAUAUUGGUCAAUGGACGGAAGUCUGAACCAGCCAUGUCGCGUGCAGGAUGACUGCCCUAUGGGUUGUAAACUGCUUUUGUAUGGGAAGAAAGUGGGGUACGUGUACCCCUUUGCCGGUACCAUACGAAUAAGGAUCGGCUAACUCCGUG
RNAcentral lists this ribosomal RNA (480 nucleotides) under uncultured organism. RNAcentral describes it as "bacterial SSU rRNA". It matches the Rfam family "Bacterial small subunit ribosomal RNA", at positions 28 to 507 of the family's 1533-position model. The record is from RNAcentral.